CACUAAGCGAGGUAUAUAACUGUUUGCAUCACUUUUGUCAGUCUCUGCAGCUUAAAGUACUUUACACACAAACGCUACGUCUCAGCUAUGAACGUUUGGAUGAGAAUAUUAACAUUGAAGAAUAUGUAGCAGGUGUGAAAACAAUUACGCAAACCGCACUUGCUUCAACGCCGAUAAAAGCUAAUUAAAGAAAAUUAUAAUUUAAUUAUGAAACCUAUAAUUCGCUGAGUUCGAUUGCCAAGGUGCCGAUAAUACCCUCGCAAUCUAAUCGAAAGGCUUUCUUUGAGACAUGUCGAUGAAAUGCUGUUUAUCGUGGUCGCUCACAAAGUUAAGAGACAGUGGUCCUGGCAGUGUAUAUGGCGCAGGUACUGGCGGCUCACACCAGUCCCCAGUCGCCCCACGAUAGCGGGUUGCGUUCCACAUCCAUCGGCUGGCCAUCAUUACCGCUAAAUCCACAAUCAAGUCCGCACAUGUUGCAUAGCUCUGGCUUAAACUUAACUACUAAUACUUCUGUUGUAUUUAAUUGCAUUGUACGUAUCUUGUUUGAAAUGUUUAACACACACUCGGCGAC
RNA transcript from Rhagoletis zephyria (snowberry fruit fly), 571 nucleotides. It is a transcript of the gene named mediator of RNA polymerase II transcription subunit 14-like, with no coding region annotated. Lineage: Eukaryota; Metazoa; Arthropoda; Insecta; Diptera; Tephritidae. The record is from RefSeq and is a predicted model, not a curated record.